GGCUAUACAAAUAGGGGUGUUACACUGGUGCUAGUGGACAGAUUGUCCAAAUAUGGCCAUUUUCUGGGCUUGCGAAGUUGCAUGGUCUUCCUCGUUUAAUAGUUAGUGAUCGAGAUUCAUUAUUUCUUAGUAAUUUCUAGACAGAACUAUUUCGCAUGCAGGGAACUAAGUUGAAAAUGAGCACUGCAUACCACCCGGAAAAAGAUGGCCAAACCGAGGCUCUUAACAGAGGUUUGGAGACUUUAUCUAUAAUGUUUUAAAUUGGAAGAACCUAAGCAAUGGUACAAAUGAUUACCAGGGGCAGAAUUCUGGUACAAUACCAGUUAUCACACGGCAGCCGGAAUGACCCAUUUGAAGUGUUAUAUGGGAGGCCACCACCUGCAAUUUACCAAUUCAUUCUAGGCGAAUACACCUAGUCUUUCAUGUUUCACUCUUAAAAAGAGAACUGGGUGAGCAUGAUGUUGCAGAAGAAUUACCAGAUGACUUAGACUCUGCAUUCAAAAUAUUAGAACCGGAAUCAAUCAUGCGAAGCCAGAAAGUUAUGAUUGAUGGGGUGGAAGGUCUUUAAUGUUUUGACUAAAUGGAAAGGCCUACCUGUUGAAGAUGUCACUUGGAUGGAUAUUGUAGACCUUCGCAAUCAAUUUCCAAAUUGCUGCCUUGAUGACAAGGCUGUUCUUACAGUGGGUGGCAAUGUUAUGAACGCAGGAGAUGGAUCAGAGUAUGAACCAGGACAUCUCAGAGUUUAUUACAGAAAAAGAAAUAAGGAUAACAAGCAAGCAAAUCUGUUGGGAGGUCAGGAUAAGGCCAAUCUUCUUCAUGGCAAUCAGGUUGUUACAGAAGAUAUGAAUAAGUUAGUUGCAGCAGAGGAUAAUGCAGUAGACAAAGAUAAACAAGCCAAGAAUGCCAGAGCCUAUAAAUAGAGAGAGAGGGAAAUGGAGAGGAUGUCUCGAGUAUUUUGUAGUUCUGGCCAUUAGUUCCUUGGAGCAGUGACUUGUGUCCUGCUACAUUAUUCAGUUGCUAGUUAUUGAGUUAAUUAUUUCUUUAUUUAUUUAUGGAGAUUGUUAAUUUGUGGUUUUACAGAUUCUCUUCAAUAAACUUAAUUUCUUUCCUCAUUACUUGCCUCUAUUUCUUUACAAUAUUCCUCACUCUAUCAACAACAUUUUGAAAGAUGACUUUGAUCUCUAAGCUCUUGCGACAUCAAUGCCUUAGGUUGAGAACUGCAUGUCCAAAACAAGUUAUUCCUACAAAUGCCCACAGAAAGAUUUGAUCAUUCAUAUUAUUAUUUGUUCUCAACAAAUCACAAGCUCCUGCUUAGUGCUGAUGCAAUCUAGGGGAAAUUAAGGACUGCAUGUAUAAAAAGGAUCUAAAACAGAAAUUAGAACAAGGCUGAAAGAAAAGGCUUAAAUAUUUGAUAUUCUGCAUUCUCCAGCAAAGAAAAAAAUCUAGCAAAAAGGUUAAAAAGACAACCUGGACCCUAAAGAGGUAGGAUAGAAGCAAAGAAACAAGAAACCUUAAUUUUAUCAUCUUCAAAUGUGGCUCAAAUUCUUAGAGCAGCCAAUUUGUAGAUUUGAAAUGUUUGGCCUCCAUAUUUCCCAAAUCUUAGACCCUAAUUCAUGUGGAUAUUUACCCUGUCAGUUAUUUAAGCUUGCAAUCUUGACCCAAUUUAACAAUACUGCAAUUCCCAGAAUACCUCUAUGUAGCAUUAAACUGCAAUUUCACUCUAAAACAUAGUUAAUCAAUCUCCAAGCAUUCGUUUUUCAGUUUAGUUAUUCAAAAAUGGCAUUUAAUUUGAGCACAUCAAGUGCCCAGCCGUCUCAAAGGUUUUGAUAAUCUACGAUAAGCAUGACCAUAUGCAGGAUUGCGUCCCCUAGCAGAAUUACUAAUACUUGGAGUUGGAGAUUUUAAACAUCAAAGAGUAAGGUUAUCAUAUACCUGUAAGGUGAAUACCAAAACCUUUAAAUCAUAUACUCACAGAAUAAGAUGCAGUUAAAAAACAGUUGAUUAUCUGCCAUGCAUAGCCAACAGCAUG
Molecule: unclassified non-coding RNA, 2029 nt
Filed under: Hevea brasiliensis (rubber tree)
Lineage: Eukaryota; Viridiplantae; Streptophyta; Magnoliopsida; Malpighiales; Euphorbiaceae
Source: RNAcentral